This 29-nucleotide non-coding RNA is filed under the name Mus musculus (house mouse). The record is from RNAcentral. Lineage: Eukaryota; Metazoa; Chordata; Mammalia; Rodentia; Muridae.
UGACCACAUAAUAGGUCACAAAACAGGCC